This 780-nucleotide long non-coding RNA is filed under the name Salmo salar (Atlantic salmon). RNAcentral describes it as "lncRNA (ENSSSAG00000098280.1)". Lineage: Eukaryota; Metazoa; Chordata; Actinopteri; Salmoniformes; Salmonidae. The record is from RNAcentral.
GUUAGGUUCAUACAAAUAUUUACACAUGUUAAGUUUGCUGAAAAUAAACGCAGUUGACAGUGAGAGGACGUUUCUUUUUUUGCUGAGUUUAGAUGUCCAUAAUGUUAGGUGAUGUGUGUCUGUCUACUAGGUGUCCAUAAUGUUAGGUGAUGUGUGUCUGUCUACUAGGUGUCCAUAACGUUAGGUGAUGUGUGUCUGUCUACUAGGUACCCAUAACGUUAGGUGAUGUGACUUCCUGUGUGUCUGUCUACUAGGUGUCCAUAAUGUUAGGUGAUGUGUGUCUGUCUACUAGGUGUCCAUAACGUUAGGUGAUGUGUGUCUGUCUACUAGGUGUCCAUAACGUUAGGUGAUGUGUGUCUGUCUACUAGGUGUCCAUAACGUUAGGUGAUGUGACUUCCUGUGUGUCUGUCUACUAGGUGUCCAUAACGUUAGGUGAUGUGUGUCUGUCUACUAGGUACCCAUAAUGUUAGGUGAUGUGUGUCUGUCUACUAGGUGUCCAUAAUGUUAGGUGAUGUGACUUCCUGUGUGUCUGUCUACUAGGUGUCCAUAAUGUUAGGUGAUGUGCGUCUGUCUACUAGGUACCCAUAAUGUUAGGUGAUGUGUGUCUGUCUACUAGGUGUCCAUAACGUUAGGUGAUGUGUGUCUGUCUACUAGGUACCCAUAAUGUUAGGUGAUGUGACUUCCUGUGUGUCUGUCUACUAGGUACCCAUAAUGUUAGGUGAUGUGACUUCCUGUGUGUCUGUCUACUAGGUACCCAUAAUGUUAGGUGAUGUGACUUCC